Molecule: non-coding RNA, 46 nt
Filed under: Trichobilharzia regenti
Lineage: Eukaryota; Metazoa; Platyhelminthes; Trematoda; Strigeidida; Schistosomatidae
Source: RNAcentral
GUACUGCUGUAGAGUCCAAAACUAGGACGAAACACUUAUCCAGUAC